GUUGAUAGCUUCGCAUGGAAUCUGAAGCACUGUAAGGAGGAACUCUCUAACUACAGAUUCAGGAACUUCUCCAUCUUUCUCUUGGAUACCUGAAGGUUCUCUCUAAUCCAAACAGACGACUUAAAUACGAGAGCAGUGGAUCAGGCCUUGAGGAGGCUAUCUUCUGUAUACCGUUGGGCCAGGAACUGAAAGGUAGAUCGAAUCCCCGAGCUGACAAGUGACACUGACUCUGAAUGGGAGCCCCCAGUGCCAAGGUGUCCAUCCCCCACUGAAGCUGGUUCAUCCAGCUCCUGCCACAAGUGGUGUUCAUCUGACCAAAUGUAUUUCUGCAGGCAUGGAUGUGCUAUGGCACCUGGCAUCAGCAGCAUAAUAUUGUGUAGAGGACUGAGGGUCUUCCAAAUAUUGAAAAUGUUAUUUUGUAAAUGUGUAUAUAUUUUUUUCAUGUUUUUUCUCCAUUUUGUUGGGGGGGUGUUAGAAUACCAUUUUGGUAUUUUGUAUAUAGUUAUUCC
Long non-coding RNA from Oncorhynchus tshawytscha (Chinook salmon), 509 nucleotides. Lineage: Eukaryota; Metazoa; Chordata; Actinopteri; Salmoniformes; Salmonidae. The record is from Ensembl.